CAGUCGCCGCGGGAAUACGUAGGGUGCAAGCGUUAAUCGGAAUUACUGGGCGUAAAGCGUGCGCAGGCGGUUAUAUAAGACAGAUGUGAAAUCCCCGGGCUCAACAUGGGAACUGCAUUUGUGACUGUAUAGCUAGAGUACGGCAGAGGGGGAUGGAAUUCCGCGUGUAGCAGUGAAAUGCGUAGAUAUGCGGAGGAACACCGAUGGCGAAGGCAAUCCCCUGGGCCUGUACUGACGCUCAUGCACGAAAGCGUGGGGAGCAAACAGGAUUAGAUACCCCCGUAGUCCCUGUCUCUUAUAA
Molecule: ribosomal RNA, 301 nt
Filed under: uncultured bacterium
Lineage: Bacteria
Description: partial 16S ribosomal RNA
Rfam family: Bacterial small subunit ribosomal RNA
Source: RNAcentral